Molecule: ribosomal RNA, 233 nt
Filed under: uncultured bacterium
Lineage: Bacteria
Description: partial 16S ribosomal RNA
Rfam family: Bacterial small subunit ribosomal RNA
Source: RNAcentral
UGAGUAACCUGCCCUUAACUCUGGGAUAAGCCUGGGAAACUGGGUCUAAUACCGGAUAUGACUCCUCAUCGCAUGGUGGGGGGUGGAAAGCUUUAUUGUGGUUUUGGAUGGACUCGCGGCCUAUCAGCUAGUUGGUGGGGUAAUGGCUCACCAAGGCAACGACGGGUAGCUGGUCUGAGAGGAUGAUCAGCCACACUGGGACUGAGACACGGCCCAGACUCCUACGGGAGCAG